AUUGUUGUGGGUCUAUUUCUGGAGUGACGAGAGAGUUCAUGUGUGCAUUUCAAUGUGACUUACCGGCUUCAAGUCACAGUGGAUUAUUUUCUCACGGUGCAACAGUCGGAGACAAUUUAUCAGGGAAUUCGCCAAUCGACGGAUCAGACUCAGACUGAAGCCCUGGUCAUCGAUCCAUCGCCAAUGUGAUAUCCUCUGAUCCGAUAUUUUCCAUCAAGUUGUAUCCAACCGAUUGCAACCGGAUUUUAGGGGAUUGCAGAAGCAGUGCCUAUUUGUGGGCACGUGCUAGUCACAUCGCGAGAUCAGACCAGACCCACAGAGUCUGAACCCAAAGCGAUUUGUCGUGGCAAUGCUGGACGAACGAGUACACUAUCGCUGACCCAGUUGUUGUCUGCCUUCAGGUGCAACGAUGUGAACCACUGAUGCGGAUCUGAGGCCUUUAUUUGGACUUUUGGGGAUUGGAAAAUAGUGAGGAUCAAUGAGAACAAUUUUGGAUGAUGAAAGUCGUCCAAUUGUUUUUAUUCAGACUCUACAAGUGAUAAAAAAAUCUGGAAAGUUUGGAGAACUGAUUUUCAGAUUGACAUUUCGAGUCUGACAUUUUGGGAGAGUUUGAAUGCGUAGAAAUAUAUAUUUGACAUUCAAGUCAUUUCUUCUUCAGAAGAAUGAACUUUCUCAUCUCAUCAGUGACAAAUUCCUCGGUUGGCUGAGAAUUUCGUUUUUACUGGACGAAUUUUAGGCAAAAAAAACAAAGUGAAUUGUAUAGUACUGAUAAGAUGAAAAUAAAUGGGGUUAACUCAGGUGGAUAGAAAGAAAUUCUGUCCCUUGGCCGACAUGUCAACCAUUUAUAGAGAAGCCGUGUGGCACGCAGCCUGAGGGGAUAAACCCACUGUAUACCUAAACUCGUUGUCGAGACGUUCCAUGUAAUGGAAUAUAAAAAAGAGAAAUGGAACGACUGGGUCCAGUUUUCCCCUCAUCCUACGUUACCGGAUGUACUGGUUUGACAUAAAAGUCGACUGAAAUUCAUCCGUACAUUGAUUGAUUCGAUCUUGAAACAAAUUAACGUUAAAAGUAAAAUGCAAAUUAAUUCACUCAACUAGUGCGGUACAAUGGAUCCUCUUCAGUCAUCAGUAACUCAUAAUUGGGUGAGUGAAUGUGAUAAACUUUUUUCAUAUGUUCAAGGUUCUUGAAAUACCUUCAAAAACCCGCAGUGGCUUGUUCAAAGACUAGAGUAGGAACAAUUUGUGUUAAUCAAUUAACUCUGUUAAUAAUAUCAAAUGGAGAAUUUUUUUUUUAAUUUUCAGUUAAAUUGAAUUAAUAAUUUAUGCGAAUUUUUCUAGGUCAUUUAUUCCAACUUUGGAAUACAAUAUUGAAUCUACUCUAGAAAAUACGUAAAUGAUUUUUUUUUAAUCAGAGAACGAUUUUGAUGAUGAAAGUAAACAAAUUUAUUUAUUUCUAAUAGUCACUUUCUUGAAAUAAAAAAAAAUCGAGUACAAAUGUUAAUUUUCCGCAUGUUCUAUUCGUUCUUCAAUUAUUAUAGAUGACGAAUAUUUCGGUCACCAUCUGUUUAUUUUUAAUGAAGAAAAAACAAAUUAACUUCCAAGGCUAGUUACGACCUAUAAUUUGGCUUCAAUUACCACAGCAACCAUUCACCGACUAACGAUAAUCCCUCACCUACCACAAAUACCAAUAAAUAUUCCAUAAAAUAAAGAAGAAGAAAGCGUCAAUGGUUUGGGAAAUCCUCAGAAAGGGAAACUCAGAUGAAUCGCGACAAAUCAAUCGUGUCAUUAGGUUCAUCCGUUCGAGCGUAAAUUGUUGUCAACGAUGAGCCUCUGGUACUAUUGAAACCGGGAUGCUAUCGACAAAAGGCCUCCAAUCAUCUUCACCUCGACUGCACUCGGCGUAUAUGCGGUAACGGUAUUGGAUUUCAAUACGCAGAAGCAUACGACAAGACAAUUCUAGCGGUUUUAUCAUCUGGACCGUGGUAAGAACAGCAUUGUUCCACCCACUGAUUGAUAUUCCACUUCAAGGUUACGCAAUAUCAGUAUUUACUUCGAUUGAAAAUUACGUUUCCAAAAUACACAAAGAGAAAAGUUCAAUAAAAAUUACCUAAAAAUUAUUGUAAUUCUGGACCAUUUGCUCCAGAAUUGCAAAAACAAAUUCAGAGAAAAAUUACUAAACAUUAGAAAAAAGUUACUGAAUAUUUACUGAAUCUUUUCUCUUCCUGUAAUAAAAAUCUCUAGUUAUUAGUCAAUUUUAAUAAUAUGGUAGUUUUAAUUUAAUUAUAUGAACCCAUUAGAACGAUUUACUUUUAAUGUUCAGCUUCCUUAUGGAUCGGUGGAUCUGUCAUUGAUACGAACGAUUGAUAAAAUGAUGAAGAUUGAUGUAUUAAUACUUGAUGAUAGGGUGAUGAUUUAAAAAAAUUGAAUUAACGAUCAACAGAGGAUUAAAAAUUAAUUUUGUACUCGUUUGUUUAUCCUUGAUGGGGUAAUGGAAAUAUUAUUACUAAAAUAUAAUUUUUACGGCGAUAUCUAAAACGUGAUCUAAAAUCGAAAUUAAAAAAACAUCAAUCGGAAACUAAAUUUUUCGUUUGAAUGAGUGAAUGAGUUAAUGUUGGAUUAAUUUAAUUAAAUUCAAAUCGAUUCAUCAGCUAAA
This is a long non-coding RNA of Diachasmimorpha longicaudata, 2652 nucleotides long. RefSeq lists it as uncharacterized. Lineage: Eukaryota; Metazoa; Arthropoda; Insecta; Hymenoptera; Braconidae. The record is from RefSeq and is a predicted model, not a curated record. The transcript has 2 exons.